GCCGGAGAGGCUAAAUUCAGUUGGCUGAAAUCGUUUCUUCAAGGAUGAACAGUUCUUAUUUAGGGGCUACAGCCUAUAACACGAGACCAGAGGAAAUGGGACAGACAGGCCUCUGAAACCUCCGUUUGGGAAGCUGGGCGGGGCUACAUUCGGAGUAUAAGACGCAUCCCUCUAUUUUGGGGAAAAAAGGUGCAUCUUACAAUCCAAAAAAUACGGUAAUUCCAGGUGCUGGGAAUUCCUCUUACCUGGGUCUUAUCUACAAUCAACCACAUCAUAUCUAUCUACAAACAGUGUAUUUACAGUUUCACGGCACAAGAGAAUUCUCCUAGAUUCCAUGCAAACAUUUCUUAUCUAGAAAUCCUAUUUAUUUCCGUAUGGCAACAUAAACCCUUUUUUUGGUGGUGGCUAAGAUCUUUAUCAGGUAAACUAUCCGAAGGAAGGAGCUUGCAAAUUGUCUUGAAAAAUAUUUUGGAAAAUAUUCUGGGAUACCAGUAACAUAAGACCCAUACCCAUUGACAUACAGAAUAUAAAAUAAUAUAAUAUACAGGAAUAGAAUAGAAUAGAAUAGAAUAGAAUAGAAUAGAAUAGAAUAGAAUAGAAUAGAAUAGAAUAGAAUUUUUAUUGGCCAAGUGUGAUUGGACACACAAGGAAUUUGUCUUUGGUGCAUAUGCUCUCACUGUACAUAAAAGAAAAGAUACCUUCAUCAAGCUACAACAUUUACAAUACUUAAUGAUAGUCAUAGGGUACUAAUUUAACACUUAAUGAUACAACACCGAAUGAUAGUCAUAGGCUACAAAUAAGCAAUCAGGAAACAAUCAAUAUCAGCAUAAAUCGUAAGGAUACAAGCAACAAAAUUAUAGUCAUAAGUGGACUUCUAACAGAAUUGGAAGGGACCUUGGAGGUCUUCUAAUCCAAUCCGUUGCUUAAGCUGGAGACCAUUCUGGACAAAAGGCUGCAUAAACAGAGGGGUAAAAUCAAGAUCAUGUGAAAUGUUAAUACCACGUUAUAAUGCCUUGGCAAGGCCACACUUGGAAUACUGCAUUCAGUUUUGGUCACCACGAUGUAAAAAAGAUGUGGAGACUCUAGAAAGAGUGCAGAGAAGAGCAACAAAAAUGAUUAGGGGACUGGAGGCUAAUACAUAUAAAGAAUGGUUGCUGGAACUGGAUAUGUCUAGUCUUAUGAAAACAAGGACCAGGGGAGACAUGAUAGCAGUCUUCCAAUAUUUGAGGGGCUGCCACAGAGAGGAGGGGGUCAAACUAUUUUCCAAAGCACCUGAAGGCCAGACAAGGAAUAUUGGAUGGAAACUGAUCAAGGAGAGAUUCAACCUGGAAAUAAAGAGACAUUUUCUGACAGAG
Long non-coding RNA from Ahaetulla prasina, 1355 nucleotides. RefSeq lists it as uncharacterized. Lineage: Eukaryota; Metazoa; Chordata; Lepidosauria; Squamata; Colubridae. The transcript has 3 exons. The record is from RefSeq and is a predicted model, not a curated record.